RNAcentral lists this ribosomal RNA (428 nucleotides) under uncultured Acidobacterium sp. RNAcentral's name for it is "bacterial SSU rRNA". It matches the Rfam family "Bacterial small subunit ribosomal RNA", at positions 958 to 1385 of the family's 1533-position model. Lineage: Bacteria; Pseudomonadati; Acidobacteriota; Terriglobia; Terriglobales; Acidobacteriaceae. The record is from RNAcentral.
AACGCGAAGAACCUUACCUGGGCUCGAACGGCUUUAGACAAUCUUUGGAAACAGAGACUUCCCGCAAGGGACUGGAGUCGAGGUGCUGCAUGGCUGUCGUCAGCUCGUGUCGUGAGAUGUUGGGUUAAGUCCCGCAACGAGCGCAACCCUUGUCCUGUGUUGGCAUGCCGCAAGGCGCAACUCUCAGGAGACCGCCAGCGAUAAGUUGGAGGAAGGUGGGGAUGACGUCAAGUCAUCAUGGCCUUUAUGUCCAGGGCCACACACGUGCUACAAUGGGCGGUACAAAGCGCUGCCAACCCGCGAGGGGGAGCUAAUCGCCAAAAACCGUCCUCAGUUCGGAUUGCAGGCUGCAACUCGCCUGCAUGAAGCUGGAAUCGCUAGUAAUGCUAUAUCAGAACGAUAGCGUGAAUACGUUCCCGGGCCUUGUA